UUUCUCUAAGUUUUGUCCCAAACAAAAAAUUUCAGAAACUUAUCAUAUAAUGGAUCAUGGUAACAUGCCACCAUCAUCACCAUCAUCAAUGGUAAAUCAUACCAAUUCCAACAUGAUCAUGAUGCAUAUGACUUUCUUCUGGGGAAAGAACACGGAGAUACUCUUCUCCGGCUGGCCCGGGACAAGUCUCGGCAUGUACGUUCUAUGUCUCAUCGUCGUCUUCCUCCUUGCUGUUAUCGUCGAGUGGCUUGCCCAUUCUUCGAUCCUUCGUGGACGUGGCUCCACUAGCCGCGCCAAGGGGCUCGUUCAGACCGCAGUCUACACACUCAAGACAGGCCUUGCUUAUCUCGUGAUGCUCGCCGUUAUGUCCUUUAACGGUGGAGUUUUCAUUGUCGCUAUCGCCGGAUUCGCCGUGGGUUUCAUGCUCUUCGGAAGCACUGCUUUCAAGAACCCCUCUGAUGACG
Molecule: small RNA, 464 nt
Filed under: Arabidopsis thaliana (thale cress)
Lineage: Eukaryota; Viridiplantae; Streptophyta; Magnoliopsida; Brassicales; Brassicaceae
Description: ATSL112970
Source: RNAcentral